AUUAGGAAUCUUGCGCAAUGGACGAAAGUCUGACGCAGCGACACCGCGUGGAGGAUGAAGGUUUUCGGAUUGUAAACUCCUUUUAUCUGUGAACAAGUUCUGAGUGUAACAGAUGAAUAAGGCCCCCCUAACUACGUGCCAGAAGGGUCGGUGAUGCGUAGGGGCCAAACGUUAUCCGGAAUUACUGGGCGUAAAGAGAUGCGUAGGCGUUUUGGUAAGUCGAAUGUUAAAGCCUGGAGCUCAACUCCAGAAUCGCGUUCGAAACUACUAAAAUUGAGUCAGAUAGGGGAAAGCGGAAUUCUAGGUGUAGCGGUGAAAUGCGUUGAUAUCUAGAAGAACAUCAAUGGCGAAGGCAGCUUUCUGGAUCUUGACUGACGCUAAGGCUCGAAAGCGUGGGGAGCAAAACGGAUUAGAUACCCGAGUAGUCC
RNAcentral lists this ribosomal RNA (428 nucleotides) under uncultured bacterium. RNAcentral's name for it is "bacterial SSU rRNA". It matches the Rfam family "Bacterial small subunit ribosomal RNA", at positions 354 to 796 of the family's 1533-position model. The record is from RNAcentral.